Dicentrarchus labrax (European seabass) is the source of this 528-nucleotide long non-coding RNA. RefSeq lists it as uncharacterized. The record is from RefSeq and is a predicted model, not a curated record. NCBI's taxonomy places the organism in Eukaryota, Metazoa, Chordata, Actinopteri, Moronidae. The transcript has 6 exons.
AGUAGUAGAAGAAGACCCCGUGUAUAAAUGUACGUCACAUCCGGACGGAUAGUCCAGUUGAUCGCACGGCGGGAAUGAGAGCUGAAGACUGAAUACACGUGUGCGACAUCCAGCAUUAAGAUGGAGAGGACUACAGAGAUGAACCCAGACCCCGCUCUGCUCGGACCUCCUGACUGACAUCUGAUGCUCAAUGACUUCAGGAGUGGAAAUCUUUCAGAGGCUGCUGAGUGCAGAAGUCUCUCUUGUCAAAGGUCUCGAAGGCGAAUAAGUGGUUCCUGCUGGCCUCAAUGAGAAGAGUCGACCGGUUAUGAUGGGGAUCGAUAUUGUGGCUCUCGUUGAAACCAACCAGAGUGCGCCCCAAACAUCAGUCAGGGUUCAACCAGUAUGAGGAGACUUUGAUGCAGAUUUCAUCCAGAGUUGGAGAACCAGUUCAUCUGCUGACCUUCAGAUGACACUGUAGUCGGGUGGAAAUUUAUCCAGAGUUUUAUAAUCUCAUUUGUAUAAAUAAACUUAAAACCUAAAAAUAAA